Molecule: ribosomal RNA, 588 nt
Filed under: uncultured soil bacterium
Lineage: Bacteria
Description: bacterial SSU rRNA
Rfam family: Bacterial small subunit ribosomal RNA
Source: RNAcentral
GCUGGCGGCGCGCUUAACACAUGCAAGUCGCACGAGAAAGCAGGAGCAAUCCUGUGAGUAAAGUGGCGUACGGGUGAGUAACACGUGGAUCAUCUACCUUCUAGUGGGGAAUACCUCUGGGAAACCGGAGAUAAUUCCGCAUAAGCUCGAGAGAGGAAAGCCGAAAGGCGCUGGAAGAGGAGUCCGCGGCUGAUUAUGCUAGUUGGUGAGGUAACGGCCCACCAAGGCGAAGAUCGGUAGCCGGCCUGAGAGGGCACACGGCCACACUGGCACUGAAACACGGGCCAGACUCCUACGGGAGGCAGCAGUGGGGAAUCUUGCACAAUGGAGGCAACUCUGAUGCAGCGACGCCGCGUGAGCGAUGAAGCCCUUCGGGGUGUAAAGCUCUUUCGACGGGAAAGAUUAUGACGGUACCCGGAGAAGAAGCUGCGGCUAACUACGUGCCAGCAGCCGCGGUAAUACGUACGCAGCGAGCGUUGUUCGGAAUUACUGGGCGUAAAGAGUGUGUAGGCGGUGUUCCAAGUCUGGUGUGAAAUCUCCCGGCUCAACUGGGAGGGUGCGCCGGAAACUGGAAUGCUAUGAGGGUGG